GACAGUUUGGCCGAGUGGUCUAAGGCGCUGGCUUAAGGCGCCAGUGUGCCAUUGGCCAUGCGCCAUUCCGAAAGGGCGCGAGUUCGAAUAUCGCAGCUGUUA
This is a non-coding RNA of Perkinsus chesapeaki, 102 nucleotides long. Lineage: Eukaryota; Perkinsozoa; Perkinsida; Perkinsidae. The record is from the annotation of a GenBank genome assembly.